Molecule: ribosomal RNA, 254 nt
Filed under: uncultured bacterium
Lineage: Bacteria
Description: partial 16S ribosomal RNA
Rfam family: Bacterial small subunit ribosomal RNA
Source: RNAcentral
UACGUAGGGUGCAAGCGUUAAUCGGAAUUACUGGGCGUAAAGCGUGCGCAGGCGGUUUUGUAAGCCAGAUGUGAAAUCCCCGGGCUCAACCUGGGAAUGGCAUUUGGGACUGCAAGGCUCGAGUUUGGCAGAGGAGACUGGAAUUCCUGGUGUAGGCAGUGAAAUGCGUAGAUAUCAGGAGGAAUACCGAUGGCGAAGGCAGGUCUCUGGGCUGAAACUGACGCUCAUGCACGAAAGCGUGGGGAGCAAACAGG